This 253-nucleotide ribosomal RNA is filed under the name uncultured bacterium. RNAcentral describes it as "partial 16S ribosomal RNA". It matches the Rfam family "Bacterial small subunit ribosomal RNA", at positions 524 to 776 of the family's 1533-position model. The record is from RNAcentral.
UACAGAGGUCUCAAGCGUUGUUCGGAUUCAUUGGGCGUAAAGGGUGCGUAGGCGGCGCGGUAAGUCGGGUGUGAAAUCUCGGAGCUUAACUCCGAAACUGCAUUCGAUACUGCCGUGCUUGAGGACUGGAGAGGAGACUGGAAUUUACGGUGUAGCGGUGAAAUGCGUAGAUAUCGUAAGGAAGACCAGUGGCGAAGGCGGGUCUCUGGGCCGUAACUGACGCUGAGGAGCGAAAGCAUGGGGAGCGAACAGG